GGCUGGUCCGAAGGUAGUGAGUUAUCUCAAUUGAUCGUUCACAGUCAGUACAGAUUGAACUCCUUGUUCUAUUCUUUCCCCGCUUCUCACUACUGCAUUUGACUAGUCUUAA
This is an unclassified non-coding RNA of Cavia aperea (Brazilian guinea pig), 112 nucleotides long. It matches the Rfam family "Y RNA". Rfam says of the family: Y RNAs are components of the Ro ribonucleoprotein particle (Ro RNP), in association with Ro60 and La proteins. The Y RNAs and Ro60 and La proteins are well conserved, but the function of the Ro RNP is not known. In humans the RNA component can be one of four small RNAs -- hY1, hY3, hY4 and hY5. NCBI's taxonomy places the organism in Eukaryota, Metazoa, Chordata, Mammalia, Rodentia, Caviidae. The record is from Ensembl.